AAAACUUUAAAGCUAUGCCAAGUUCCACUCAGGUAAGUUCUCUGCUUGACCUUCCUGCUUCAUAAUUAUUGUUUAGCAACCGACGAGUCACCCAAAUCUUAAAAAUCCACCACCAGCCUCCAUCCAUUAUGCCGACCGUCCUCGAUUGAGAGUGCCCAGGUGAACGCAGCGAUGCUGCCAUGCGAGAUUACUGAGCCACCCCCGGCGAGCGAGGCAGUAGCCCCGUCGCGGUGCUCCGCUCCCCAUCCGCUCUGACCCUGGGGAGUCGACCACACAAUCUCGGUGACGUCGCCCAGACCCCAUCGACAGUACCCCGGCCCCCGUCGACGCUGCCACAUGUGGCCUCGGCGAGCCACUCCGCGAGAAGCGCCCGGGCGACCCGGCUGUGAACUGUGCGUCCGCUCUUCCGCCGAGCUGUUCAGGUGGAUGCCUCUCCCGUGGGUGCUCUGCCCGCCGGUAGAGGUCUCUUCAGACCAAAUCUGCUGACAACGCAUUGCGUUCAGGGGUUUUAUGCGUUUCCAAUCCUUGCUAUCCAGCCUUUGUGGAGGAGUACCUAGGAAAGGAGGUGGAUCGAUUGCUGUAACUGCCCCUACGCAUCCAUCCUUUUGAGCAUGCAGAAGAUAUAGAAAGCGGUUUUCAGAUGUUGAAACAAAGUACAAGCGAAUGUAUGAGAUGACAUAAAUCAUUUUGUUGCUUUCUCGAGCAAGUUGCUGCUCAUCUCUGACUCUCUGUUCACUAAGCUUUGCUGGGUCAUUGAUCUACAUGUCCUUCUGCUCAAGUAUCUAUUUUAUGAAUCAAGACAUGAUGCUAUUUUCGGUAAAUACUUUUUCAUCACAUAUAAAUAGAUAUGGCUCCUUUGAACAUCAGUUAGUAUCAUGUUACCCUACCAUAUUGUUGGGAUAAACUUCCUUUGGUACACCAAUAAAGGAUCAUGAAGACGAUGAGCACGAUAUAUGGGAAGUUAAGCGACACAGCUCAAAUCAGCAGAAAUUGCGUAAAUUUUUUUAUACUAUCUGAUUGCCCGACUCCAUUUUAUUUGUGCCCAUUUUUCAUUAUCUGAAAUACAAAUUCAGAUAUGCCUAUUCUCCAGGUCUUAAUCUAGAGGACCAAAGAUUCAAUAUGUUAAGGACUAUGAUCACUAGAAAUUUGUUUCUAGAGGACUAAAGAAGGUUCAAUAUAAAUCAUUUACGAUGGGCUUCAUGUUUGAGAUCCUAAACCAUAUAAAUUGUCAUUAUUAUUUUCAUUUGCUUAAUGCAACUUAUAAUUUUUCAAGUUUAAUAUAUUUGUGGCAAACAACUUCCAGUUGCAACUUGAUAAUUUGUAUCUUGGUGCUUAUUUAUGUAUAAAUUCUCAUUCCCUAUUCAGCCCGGAUUUUCAAGACAAGGAAUUAGAACUUGCUUCGGGGGGAAAAGAGAAAAUGAAUUUGUACUCUUUUGCUUCGUUGGCAUGAUUUAUUUUGUACUUAUUGUUGACAUUGUAGCUCCAUCACUCACUAUGAAGCAUAGCAAGCUACUACAGUGGCCAAUAUUAGUGUUUAGUUUACAUUCUUUGCAGAUCUAAAGUACACACAGAUGAAGAUUGACUUCCUUUUGAUGUCUACAAUAACAUUCAUUCUUUGCAGAUCUGAAGUACCCAUAAUAUCUCAACAUGAAAAUUUGUACAUUUCCACUCAUAGCGUCCCCAUCCGGAAUAUCCCUGUUCUUAGUGCGCUUACAUUUACUAAUAUUUAUGUAAGUCAUAUGAGAUUACUUAUGUUAUAUUCUGAAUGCGUAAUUCACAAUUUUCAAUCUUCAUAAUUAUCCAUAGCAUUUUUUUGUCAUAAGAUCAUAUAUCUACUAUGCAAACAAAGUUAUUCGAUUUAUAUGUUAUCAUGUACUUAUGACUGAGAGAUCCCACAGGAACGCACGGGGUAUCAUCUAGUUAUUACACUAUAGGGACCCCUUCAAUCUUCUUAAAAUAAACAGUACAGUGAACUGAUUUUCUCAACAACAAAAAAACAGUAGAGUGAACUGAUACUCAUUUGAAGGAAGUAGAGGGGAAAGCAUUGAUGGUUCCAACCCAAUCAAGACUUCAAGCCAUACAUUUUUCCUGAUUUCUUGCUGAAAUCAAGAUGUCACAAAAUCCCGACUAACAUAAAACAUAGACUAUUUUAUACAAACACAAUCAGAUGCAUAUUGACAGCUAUGUAAUAACCACUGAUAAUUUUCUUGCAUUCUCCACUUUGUUGUCUUACUGUCCAUUUCAUGAUCAUCAAAUCAGCACAACUCUUGAAAUCAAUUCUGGACGUAUACACUAUGAUAUCAGUUUUCUCCAACAUCACAUUAUAUUUUGUUCCCAUCAAUCUCUUCUGAACCAAUAUUAACACAAUGAUAGCUUCCCGGUGCUGCUAACUAUGCUAAACUGGCUAAAAGAUGGAUCAUUUAUACCAAUCCAUCAACCUUUUCUCGCGGCCAAUAUAUCCGAUUCUUUCGGCUUCCCGUGUCAAUAUGCAUGAGCAACCAACAAUGUGUGUAGUCAUGCAAUGGCUAUGCAGGCAACCAAAACAGACACAACACCAUAUUCACAUGAAAUUUGCAUUGCCUUAGAAUUUCGCCGCCGAGUGAUGGUUUUCCUUUUCCGCAUAAGUAGCAUAUUGGUAGCAUCUUUUCAUAAUCACAAAGUCCUUCUCCAAUUUGAAGUGGCAUACAAAGUGACGAGUGAGUGACUUAGGUUGAGUAAAUCAGCUGAUGCCAUGUCCCACUGCUCCGUGGACCAUGGAUCAAAGUAAUUAAUGGACCAAGCAAGUUAUUGAGUUCUAUGGAUAAUUGAUUUAAUGUUAAAAGGCUGACCAUUACUAGGCACUAGAACAAGGAAUAUCGAGACAUCUAUAGCAAGUGAUGUUGUAGGGAAAUGAAAGCAAUGGUACCGGAACAACUUCCGCACGUUUGCUCAUGCAUGUAUAUCCUAUUACUUGUAAUGGUUUGCUAUUACCGCACUUAAUUUGUUACAUAAAAUCAAUGUUCAUAUGCAAUAUGACUGUCUAUCUGCCACAUCAUUCUUAGAUGCAAGCUUGCAGAUGCAGUUUGGUUUAAGAUUGGUUUACAUGAUUUAACACGCGACUCAUCUAACCUCCAUGGCUCUCUCUAAGUAUGGCAAGCUCUGGCAUAUUCGCUUUGCAGCACGUCCUGUAGCUCUUUGGACUGCCCCGCAACACUCAAGUUUUCGACAAUAUCAUAUAUGUUUUCUUAGAAAAGAAGAAAGACCCCCGGUCUCUGCAUCUGGACGAUGCAUGCAUCACUUUAUAAUUAUUCACAUAAGACCUUACAAAGUAAUAUACAACAGUAAGACUAA
Triticum aestivum (bread wheat) is the source of this 3330-nucleotide long non-coding RNA. RefSeq lists it as uncharacterized. The record is from RefSeq and is a predicted model, not a curated record. The transcript is spliced from 3 exons. Lineage: Eukaryota; Viridiplantae; Streptophyta; Magnoliopsida; Poales; Poaceae.